UUAUCCUUUUAAUUUUGUUCCAUAAUGAUAGAGUUUAUGUAAAAAAAAUUAAAUAAGAAGAAUAUUUACAUGGGAAGUUGCUAAUUAAUACUUCGAGAAAUAAAAUAAAAAAUCUUUGUUAGGCUACGGCUGAUCAACGUUAAAGCCCGUCAAACCAAAAGUAAGAUUAAAACCUGUUUAUUUGUCUUUUGGAACAAUAAAACUUUCAUUUUUCUUCAUCUAGGAACUAAUCCUAUGCUUUGAUCAGCCUUAGUAUUCACUGUUAAGUUAAUAUCAUAUUUUUCUCUAUUGAAUAUUAUUUUGAGGCUCAUGUAAAUACCUUUUAACUUCUCACAUCAUAAAUAUUUUAAUAGUAAAGGCAAUUAUUAGGCUACAUCCUAUGUACGUCUACACACUUGCCUAUUCCACUAUAUAGAGGGUGUCACAAUUCCCUCCAGAUCGUGGAAGACUCUCCUCCACGCCUAACUUCCAGUAACUUUUUUUAUGGGAUCAUAUUGAAGAUUGUGCAUUCAUACCUCAUAUGCUUAGUGAUUUAAUGAAAUUACCACUGGGUUCGUUACCAUUGAUCAUUACUUGUUGCAGUCAGUGUGACAAAAACUUAAAUUUUUAACUUGAAUUCUGCCGCAUUACCAAAAGUUCACAUAUUAAAUAUUUUUUUUUAUUUUAAAAAAGUGAUGUUUCUUUAUGAGAUAAAGUAAAAUUCGUUCAUGCAAUAGAUAUUCUUAUUAGCAAUGAAAAUUUAGUAGUCCAAUAAGACCACUUGGGUAUUUAUUUAGUGGUCCAAAGCCUUAAUAGGGUCGAAAAAUUUGAGAAAAAUAAUUGAACUUUACAAUUACGUAAUUCAUAUUAUGGUAGACAUUAACAAUUAUUAAAUGCCGUCUAUAACUCAUUAGGUUUGUUAGCCCAUAAUGACUGAAUAUUAGUAUUCAUUAAAAUUAAAUGUAAAGGAGCUAAAUUAGUAUUAGUAAAUAUAUUCAAUAUAGAGAUUUAAAUACUGAUACCAAAUAAAUGAGGGAAACAGAGUAAGUAAGAGUUAAUAAAAUAUGUCAAAAAUUAAUCAUCUAAACUUCUAAGAGAGCAAAAAAUGCUAUUUUAUUGAUUAACUAUUACAUUGUCAGUACUUGAAUGAAAAGCACAGCACAACAUGUAAAUUUAAAAUUUCAACAUUUAAAUUAAAAAAAUUUUUUUUAUCGGACUCUUUUUUUUAUUCCAUUUAAAUACCAUGCAUUCGAAUUCCAUACCAAGCGUAGCAAAUUCCAGUAAUUAUUAUUUUUUUUAAUUGCAUGGAAUAUAAUGCAAAAAGCAAUUUUUUGAUACUGUUCUAUAAUUUCCAAACAUAUUUCAAGGAGACAAAUUUGUCUCUCAUGUGAAGGAUUUUUAAGGACAUUUGUGGAACAAUCUGUGACAAUUGUCACAAUGCUGGCGUGAACUAGAGUUAUGGUAAUGUUUUGUUUGUUAUAAGCCUUCUAAAUCAUUGAGGGAAUUGGUACACACCCUAUAUUUGCAGCAAUGGAAAUAUUCUUAAUUUUUUGCUUAAAUUUUUUUUUAUUAAUAUCCAAGCUAUUUUUCAAUUCAUAUGUGAUUUGUGUACUUUAAUAUUAAAUAUUUACUAGGUUCAAAGCCGAAGUUAUUGUUCAAAAAGUUUAUUAUUUUUUAUCUGGAAUGACAAAUCUUGCUAUAUUGUUUGGCUUUUUAUACUUUUCUGUAGCGUGGUUAUAGUUUUAUAUAUAUAUAUACAGGAAAUAACUUUUUGUUUUCUAGAAAAUGUGUAUUGAGGUCAUUUAAAAACAUACUUGUCAUGUAAUAGGAACAUUUUUAGAAAAGUUUUUGACUUAAAGAAGAAGACAAACAUUUUAUUGCAUAAAAAGAUUACUUGCCGUGGUAAAAAAAAGUUUUCUGUUGAAUAUAUUGUUAAAGUUUUUGAGAUCAGCUGCUUUGGUCUGAAUGUUGAAAUCAACAGUGAAAAUAUGUACAUUAAAAAAGUCUGUUAUAAUGGCAGUUUUGUAAGUGAAUACACAUAAUCGAAGUUAAAAUAGCAAUAUCAGAACUAAGAAAUGAAGUAGACAUAUUUACCUCCUUUUCAUUUAUUUUGAACAACUAUUUUGAUUUUUAAUACUUAACUCAAUUAGACUGCCUUUGCCAACAGAUUAUAGAUAGAAUUUCGUAACUCUGUAUUUUAAUGAAAGGCGGAAAUAUCUAUGUCGGGAAUAUUUGAACAACAAGUUUCCAAAUUGUAAAAAGUUUUUAUAAAAAUUCAAAUGAAGUGCAAUAAUUUUGACAUCAUUGAUAAUAAUGAUUGUAAAUUGUUUAGAAAGAAAUAUGAUGUUGGUCAACGGAAAUCACAUUAUUUUAAAGACGAACUUUUAUUUUGUUAAGAAGACAAAUUAUCUGAUGAUCACUCACACAUUGCAUUAUACAAAAAGAGGUUAAAAUUUCAAGUUGACAAAAAAUUUAAAUUUUUUGCUUUUCUCUAUUGAUAUCAAAAAUAAAUAAAAAUGACUUCCAUAAAAGCUUUUUCCGUGCAAUAUUUUUUAUUAAGCAGCAGAAAACAUAUUUCCUUAAAAAUGUUUGUCAUAACAGAGGAAGACUGGUAAGUUUUUCCUCGUUCAAAUGAUAAUUGACGUAUUAUUAGCAUUUUGACAGUUUCUUGGAAAUUUGUGGUCUUUUCAUACUAUGUCAUAAUAUUCAUAAUAUGUCAUACAUAUAAACAAUUAGGUUCUCAUUUGUUGCCAUUAUAUAAAUUCCUAUUUCAGCACUUUUUAAUAAUAACAAUUUAAAUGACCUAAGUUUUUUGAAGCUGAAGUUCACAUGUGUGAUUGAUUAAGAUUCUCUUUGCAAGUCUUUUGAAAAUGUCUUAAAAUAUUAGAAAAAAAAUACAUAAAAAAAGUUUCUCUCAUAAUUGUUUUUAUAUAAUGAAUGCAAACAACUGUAUUAUUAAUUUUAAUUUUAUUAUUUUAUCCAAUAAUGAAUUUCCCCUUUUAACUAAUGCUUAAAAUCUUGUGUUUUAGAGUUUUGUCUGAGAACAUUUAAUUCUGGUCAAGACUUGGUGCAGCACGUAGAAGCUCAUCUUUUUAGUUGCAUAGAAUGCCCGUAUUCCACACCUUUCAAAAGCAAUUUAACGAAGCACGUCAGGAUUCACACGGGUGAGCGUCCCUACAAAUGUGACGUCUGCAGUCGCACCUUCAUACAAACGAACUCUAUGAAGAGGCAUUAUGCAAAUGUUCAUUCAAAAAUUAUUCCAGGAAGACUUCAAAAGAAUCAUCUUAGUUACUAACAGAGCGUGAAAUCCACUCAUGAAGAAAAGGAUGAAUUAGACGCAAUUUACGGGAAAUGAGACGUAUGAGUAAGUGUACGCUUGUCAUAUUUGUCGGAGGAGCUGUAUUUCUGCUGGCGCUCUGAUGUUGCACAUGCAAGCUCAUCGUUUUAGUUGCACACUGUGUCCUUACUCUACACCUUUCAAGUGUAAUUUAACAAAGCACAUGAGGAAACAUACUGGUGAACGUCCAUACAAAUGUAACAUUUGUGGCCGUGCCUUCACCGAAAGUGGUGCAAUGAAGAAGCAUGUUAAAAUGAUUCAUGAAAAAGAUUCUUAUAGAGAAAUCUUGAAAAAUUAGGUUUAAAUACUAUUAAGAGAGUAGGACUAUUUUGUUCUAAUAUCUGUAUUUUUAUUUAAAAUUUUAAUAAAACUUUUUGAUUUCAUGUUCUUUUUUACCCAUUAUUUGAUUUAAUAUCUUUUUAGUAAAAGAUUUCAAGGUAGUUGAAUUUUUUUUUAUUUACAGUAUGAUAGUAACAUACUUUAAAUCUUACUUAGAUAACUUUAAUAUCCACUUUUUAUAAGAUUCGUUCUUUAUUUUUGCAGCAUUAGUUUUUUUUUUUUGAAUUUUCAAUGAGUGAAAAUAUUUUCUAUUGUUUUCAAAUAUAAUUUUAAAAAUUUCUAUAUUUUAUUCCGAUAUUAUGACUGUAUAAAGAGGACGCUAUACUGCGGGAGAAAAUUUUCGUCAAAAAUUCUCUUUCUCCUUUAUUUCUAAUUUAAAGUGUAGAAAAAAUGAGUUCAGACAAAGCUAGUGUAAGCCAUGAAGUUUUAAAUACUAAAAAGAACAUUUUAAAAUGUACAAAUGAAAUAAAUGAUGAGAUAAUAACUUAGGAGUACACAACGGAGAAGUUCUAAUUAAUAAUUUGAUCAACAGAGAAGUUCUAAUAAUAAUAAAAAUCUCUUCUAAUAAUUUGUUUGCAUUUUAAUAUUUUAAAGUAUUUUUUUCAGCAAUUGAAAAAUCAUGACAAACUCUAGAUUUGCCUGAACUUUUUCUUUCUUUUAAAUUAUUAAUGGAGGAGAAAGUGAAUUUGCGACGAAAAUUUUCUUCUGCAGUAUAGCGUCCUCUUAACAUUAAAUAGGCAUAAAGUAAUUAGCCUUAUCCUUUAUUUUAUUCAGUUAAACUGUACAGGUUGUUCUGUAAAGACUCCCCUUUAUAUAUAUUUUUAGAAUACUCAUAAAAAAAGAAAAUAAAAGUACAUUCAAUGAGGUCAAAUAAUUAAUAUUUAAGUGAGUAAAAAACAAAAAUGCAACGACUGGAAAACAAAUGUAAUAAACAUCAAAACAGGUUGAAACUUGAAGGUGUUUCUAAUUAUAAGCUUUUAGCUCUUCUCUAUUUCCUCCUGCUAUUAAACCUAUCAUGUUGCUAAUUACGACUGCUCUUUCUUGUACUGUGAUUCAUCAAAUUUCGAUUGCAUUCAUUUUUUUCCUCUCUUAAACAUUAACUUGCUACUCGCAAUGUGUGUACUUUUUUGUUAUUUUAGUUGAGAAUUUUAAAAUGUGCAUAUUAAAAGUGAUUUUAAAGAGACACACAGUGUAUCUUUGAAGUAUAAUACUUUGAAAAAAUGCAUA
This is a non-coding RNA of Parasteatoda tepidariorum (common house spider), 4882 nucleotides long. The record is from RefSeq and is a predicted model, not a curated record. Lineage: Eukaryota; Metazoa; Arthropoda; Arachnida; Araneae; Theridiidae.